Molecule: long non-coding RNA, 783 nt
Filed under: Phaseolus vulgaris (common bean)
Lineage: Eukaryota; Viridiplantae; Streptophyta; Magnoliopsida; Fabales; Fabaceae
Description: long non-coding RNA (PVUL_LNC002651)
Source: RNAcentral
UGCCAUCACCAAAAUUAUAGUAUAGUUUAGUUUAGUACUAGUUAAACAUAUGAUCAAUUGAACAAUGAAGAUAAAGUGAGGAAUACCAGUCAUAGAUAAGAAAAUUAACUGCAUGUAAGUAAACAAAUCAUGAAUGUCUUUGAAUAUCAGCUGUUUGAGUUUCUCAUCAGCAUCUGAGAUUACUUGUUUUUUUUUACUCACUUUAUAGGCUUAAUAUGGUUAGUAUAGAUAAGGUAAUUAUGUUAUUCAAGUCUCUUCAGUUUGAGAUCAGUUUGAUAUGAAAGGUAGAAGUUGAGGUUUGGUAAGGGCUACACCAAUUUUCACAUGUUCAUGAAUAAGGGCCAUUCACUAAAAUGAGAAUAAGUGUUGUACCUUUAUGUGACUUUUCAAUGAGAGAGUAAUUCAUUUUCAACAUUUAAUAACUUCACUUUAUAAAUUAGGUAAUAUAGUUGUAAAUGAAUUAAAUGUGACCUUUAAGCUUGAAAGCAUUGCCAAAUUUAUGGCUUCAAUUACCUUCUGAAGGCUACCGGCACAAUACCAGCUCUAUAUUCAGCAAUUUGAAGGAAGGCAGGUUCAGCCAUAUCAAAGUGUUGCAAAGGUGGGUUGCACCAACCACCAUUGUUGUUAGGCAAAGAUGGAUUUGGGGGGCAGAAGUUAGUAGCAGUGACUGUAAUAGUGCCAGGUUUGCACCAUCUUGGGUCAUCAUCACAUCUCAUUUCAAAGCAAGAACCACAGCUUAAGCCAUUGUUGAACAAAGCAGUGCUAAGAGCCACAGUGUCUGUU